CCCCUAGAUGUUCUGGGCCGCACGCGCGCUACACUGAACAGUUCAACAAGUCUUAACCUUGGCCGAUAGGUCUGGGUAAUCUUUGAACGCUGUUCGUGAUUGGGAUAGACCUUUGCAAUUAUGGGUCUUCAACGAGGAAUUCCUAGUAAACGCAAGUCAUCAGCUUGCAUUGAUUACGUCCCUGCCCUUUGUACACACCGCCCGUCGCACCUACCGAUUGAAUGGUCCGAUGAAAUCUCGGGACGGCGGCUUGGUCGCUUGCGUCCGACUGCUGAAACUUGAUUAAACCAUAUCAUUUAGAGGAAGGUGAAGUCGUAACA
Molecule: ribosomal RNA, 320 nt
Filed under: uncultured eukaryote
Lineage: Eukaryota
Description: partial 18S ribosomal RNA
Rfam family: Eukaryotic small subunit ribosomal RNA
Source: RNAcentral